This 219-nucleotide long non-coding RNA is filed under the name Setaria viridis. Its description in RNAcentral is "long non-coding RNA (SVIR_LNC007470)". The record is from RNAcentral. Lineage: Eukaryota; Viridiplantae; Streptophyta; Magnoliopsida; Poales; Poaceae.
GAAGGGGGAGCUCCACAGAGAGCUCAGGCGGCGGUGCUUGUGCGCGAAGCAGAAGAGUGUGUGGCGGUGAGUGUGGUGGAGAAGAACAGAGCAGGUAGUGCGGCAAUGGCGGUGGUGGUGAAGGGAACUCCAGUAAGAGGUUUCGGUACCUUUUUAUAGAUACGCAGAAGUGUUCGGAGGAAGGAAAUGAGCUCGAGCGGGCGCGAGGAUAAGAUCGAG